GAAAUGCGAUAAGUAGUGUGAAUUGCAGAAUUCAGUGAAUCAUCGAAUCUUUGAACGCACAUUGCGCCCCUUGGUAUUCCAUGGGGCAUGCCUGUUCGAGCGUCAUUUGUACCUUCAAGCUUUGCUUGGUGUUGGGUGUUUGUCUCGCCUCUGCGUGUAGACUCGCCUCAAAACAAUUGGCAGCCGGCGUAUUGAUUUCGGAGCGCAGCACAUCUCGCGCUUUGCACUCAUAACGACGACGUCCAAAAGUACAUUUUUACACUCUUGACCUCGGAUCAGGUAGGGAUACCCGCUGAACUUAAGC
Molecule: unclassified non-coding RNA, 304 nt
Filed under: plant metagenome
Description: partial contains 5.8S ribosomal RNA, internal transcribed spacer 2, and large subunit ribosomal RNA
Rfam family: 5.8S ribosomal RNA (bases 1-105)
Source: RNAcentral